Molecule: ribosomal RNA, 253 nt
Filed under: uncultured bacterium
Lineage: Bacteria
Description: partial 16S ribosomal RNA
Rfam family: Bacterial small subunit ribosomal RNA
Source: RNAcentral
UACGGAGGGGGCUAGCGUUGAUCGGAAUUACUGGGCGUAAAGCGCACGUAGGCGGCUUUGUAAGUUAGAGGUGAAAGCCCGGAGCUCAACUCCGGAACUGCCUUUAAGACUGCAUCGCUUGAACGUCGGAGAGGUAAGUGGAAUUCCGAGUGUAGAGGUGAAAUUCGUAGAUAUUCGGAAGAACACCAGUGGCGAAGGCGACUUACUGGACGACUGUUGACGCUGAGGUGCGAAAGCGUGGGGAGCAAACAGG